Molecule: ribosomal RNA, 1072 nt
Filed under: Streptomyces sp. LK1121.3
Lineage: Bacteria; Bacillati; Actinomycetota; Actinomycetes; Kitasatosporales; Streptomycetaceae
Description: partial 16S ribosomal RNA
Rfam family: Bacterial small subunit ribosomal RNA (bases 1-825)
Source: RNAcentral
AAACUUUCGCUACCGGCGUGCUUANUUUAUGCAAGUCGAACGAUGAAGCCCUUCGGGGUGGAUUAGUGGCGAACGGGUGAGUAACACGUGGGCAAUCUGCCCUUCACUCUGGGACAAGCCCUGGAAACGGGGUCUAAUACCGGAUAACACCUGCCCGGGCAUCUGGGUGGGUUAAAAGCUCCGGCGGUGAAGGAUGAGCCCGCGGCCUAUCAGCUUGUUGGUGAGGUAGUGGCUCACCAAGGCGACGACGGGUAGCCGGCCUGAGAGGGCGACCGGCCACACUGGGACUGAGACACGGCCCAGACUCCUACGGGAGGCAGCAGUGGGGAAUAUUGCACAAUGGGCGAAAGCCUGAUGCAGCGACGCCGCGUGAGGGAUGACGGCCUUCGGGUUGUAAACCUCUUUCAGCAGGGAAGAAGCGAAAGUGACGGUACCUGCAGAAGAAGCGCCGGCUAACUACGUGCCAGCAGCCGCGGUAAUACGUAGGGCGCAAGCGUUGUCCGGAAUUAUUGGGCGUAAAGAGCUCGUAGGCGGCUUGUCACGUCGGGUGUGAAAGCCCGGGGCUUAACCCCGGGUCUGCAUUCGAUACGGGCUAGCUAGAGUGUGGUAGGGGAGAUCGGAAUUCCUGGUGUAGCGGUGAAAUGCGCAGAUAUCAGGAGGAACACCGGUGGCGAANGCGGAUCUCUGGGCCAUUACUGACGCUGAGGANCGAAAGCGUGGGGAGCGAACAGGAUUAGAUACCCUGGUAGUCCACGCCGUAAACGGUGGNACUAGGUGUUGGCGACAUUCACGUCGUCGGUGCCGANCUACGCAUNANUUCCCCCCUGGGAAUCNGNCNCAGGNUAACUAAAGANUGACGGGNCCNCCAACCCGACNUUNGUUAUNNACCACCGANACUACAGGUGNUNCCGAACGCNAAUGNCCCCUNGNCGNNAGGGGCUGGNCNACUNUCNAAUGGUAUCCNACCCCUUUNUCCCUCUNGGNGGCAGANCGGAUGGAGGNCAAUUNCUUUGUCCCNGGNANGACGGGANAAUUUNNGUCCCAGNUAANUGAUCNCCCCAACCNCGGGGGG